AGAGUUUGAUCCUGGCUCAGGAUGAACGCUAGCGGCAGGCCUAAUACAUGCAAGUCGAACGGGAUUGCCUCCUUCGGGAGGCAUGAGAGUGGCGCACGGGUGCGCAACGCGUAUGCAACCAACCCCCGACAGGCGGAUAGCCGGUGGAAACGCCGGAUAAUACGCCAUGGUUCCCUGGGAGGGCAUCCUCCUGAGGAUAAAGCCGAGAGGCGGUCGGGGACGGGCAUGCGUCCCAUUAGAUGGCAGGCGGGGUGACGGCCCACCUGGUCUACGAUGGGUAGGGGAUCUGAGAGGACGGUCCCCCACACUGGUACUGAGACACGGACCAGACUCCUGCGGGAGGCAGCAGUAAGGGAUAUUGGUCAAUGGGGGGAACCCUGAACCAGCCAUGCCGCGUGAGGGAAUGAGGCCCUACGGGUCGUGAACCUCUUUUAUUCGGGGACAAGGACGCGGUCGCGAACCGUGUUUGAGGGUACCGAAGGAAUAAGCAUCGGCUAACUCCGUGCC
This 507-nucleotide ribosomal RNA is filed under the name uncultured organism. Its description in RNAcentral is "SSU rRNA". It matches the Rfam family "Bacterial small subunit ribosomal RNA", at positions 8 to 509 of the family's 1533-position model. The record is from RNAcentral.